This is a long non-coding RNA of Pan troglodytes (chimpanzee), 1690 nucleotides long. RefSeq lists it as uncharacterized. The record is from RefSeq and is a predicted model, not a curated record. NCBI's taxonomy places the organism in Eukaryota, Metazoa, Chordata, Mammalia, Primates, Hominidae. The transcript has 4 exons.
ACCAAAGACUAUUACAAAAACUCAAAGGUUACUAAGUGCUAAUAGAAAAUCUUCUGUGCUUAGCUUCACUGGAGUGUCAACACUUAAUACUAGUUAUGUAGAAUUACAACUUUAUGUUUAUUACAGUAAAUAUACAGGCAUGUAAGGAAAAAUUCUAGAACAGCUUUUCUUAGUAUGUUAAAAAUUUUAAUCACCAUUUCACCUUUGAAGAUCAUUCUCUCUUGCACAGAGCACUAAAUUCAGUACGAGAUCUGCUAUGAUGUUUCUCUCUUAUAUGUAACCAAGAAAUUUCCCAUGCUGUCACUAAGAAUCAGGUAUUCCUCCUGCUUUCUGCUAAAGGACCUAAAAUUAUAUUGGAAAUAUCAUCAAAGGAUAAAUAAUACUGGAUCUUCUUUUGGUUACAUUUAUAGCUUCACUGCUUCUCAAUAUUGGACCAGUUUCUUAAAACUAUUUUCCAGGAGUAAACAAACCCUACCUGCAAACCAAGAAGACAGAUUUUGGCCUAUGUUUAGCAAUAUUCUCUUGCCAUGAUGGAGAGUAUCCUCUCAUGAACAACGAUUAUAAAUCUGUCAAUCACUCUAUGUAACUUCUCAAGUGAAGCAGCUAAAGCCAUAGCUGCCCAACAAAAAUCUUUAAACUCUUUAGCCACAGUAGUAAUGGAUAACAGAAUACCCCUAGACUAAGUAUUGGUGGAACAGGAAAGAGUUUCUAUGGUAGCUAACAUAUCAUGUUGUGUUUACAUCAAUACAUUUUCUGAAGUUGAAACACACAUGAAAUUAGAAGACAACAAGCUAAUUAAUCACAACAAAUUCCCAGGGAAGAACCAGGUGCCAACUGGUUCUCAGAUAUAUUUUUCUGAAUCCCACAUAGAAUUCAAUGUAUGCCCCCAAGCCAUACGAAAAUUAAGACUUUACCUAUUACUAAUGCUCAUUUUUGGACAUUUGGUUAGCAAAUGCUGCCUCUGAUGUUAAACUUUUAAACUGUUAAAAGAGAAACCAAUGUAUUAAUAAUGCUAAAUGUUAAUAUUGUACCAGAUAUUAGAGAAUAUCUUCAACUUAAUGCAAAAUGAUUUCAUCCUUUAGGCCCAAACCUGCACCCCUAGUCAGUAGGAAAAAGCUAGAAUGGACGUUGCCCCUAAUCCCUCAUGACUGAAGAAUGCACAUAGAACAGGGGGGAUUGAAACCAUGACCCAAAGAUUUAGUUAAAGAAACCAAUGGCUAAAAGAAGUUAUUGAGUUUGCAGGUUGGCAGAUUAAAAAAAGAAGAAGAGGAAACAACAACAACAACGACAGAACAACAACAACAAAAAAAACUUGCUGAAACACUGAAACUCCCUUUGCUUAUUAACUAAAGAACACUGACUGAAAUUGAUUGGACUCAAUAUGGCCAACUAGAGUCUGCACAGAAAGAGCUUGCUGACAUUGCAACCUGAAUUUUCAGUGCAUGUUUCAUAACAGCUCCCUCCAACUUUGUACAUGUGACCCAUGCGAUAGUAUGAAGUUAACUGUAUGCCCAGGGACUUUCUAGACCUUCUCUUUCCUUCCACCAAUUAUUUGAUCAUCUCAGAAUCCACCUCCUGAAACUUUUUGUAUACAAAUACUGCUUUGAAGCCAGCAUGGGGAGAAAAACUUGAGUUUGACAUGCCUGUCUUCUUGUGAGUCAACUUGCAAAAUAAAGCUUUCCUUUUCUCA